This 478-nucleotide ribosomal RNA is filed under the name uncultured bacterium. RNAcentral describes it as "partial 16S ribosomal RNA". It matches the Rfam family "Bacterial small subunit ribosomal RNA", at positions 28 to 507 of the family's 1533-position model. The record is from RNAcentral.
GACGAACGCUGGCGGCGUGCUUAACACAUGCAAGUCGAACGUGAUUUUUGUGGAAAUUCUUUCGGGAAUGGAAAUGAAAUGAAAGUGGCGAACGGGUGAGUAACACGUGAGCAACCUACCUUACACAGGGGGAUAGCCGUUGGAAACGACGAUUAAUACCGCAUGAGACCACAGAAUCGCAUGAUAUAGGGGUCAAAGAUUUAUCGGUGUAAGAAGGGCUCGCGUCUGAUUAGCUAGUUGGAAGGGUAAAGGCCUACCAAGGCGACGAUCAGUAACCGGUCUGAGAGGAUGAACGGCCACAUUGGAACUGAGACACGGUCCAAACUCCUACGGGAAGCAGCAGUGGGGAAUAUUGCACAAUGGGGGGAACCCUGAUGCAGCGACGCCGCGUGAGCGAAGAAGGUUUUCGAAUCGUAAAGCUCUGUCCUAUGAGAAGAUAAUGACGGUAUCAUAGGAGGAAGCCCCGGCUAAAUACGUG